Molecule: small nuclear RNA, 23 nt
Filed under: Arabidopsis thaliana (thale cress)
Lineage: Eukaryota; Viridiplantae; Streptophyta; Magnoliopsida; Brassicales; Brassicaceae
Description: snRNA_02964
Source: RNAcentral
UUUACUUACUCCGUGAAUCGGAG